UACGGAGGGUGCGAGCGUUGUCCGGAAUCACUGGGCGUAAAGGGCGCGUAGGCGGCCUGAUAAGUAGGGGGUGAAAUCCUGCGGCUUAACCGCAGGGCUGCCUUCUAAACUGUCAGGCUCGAGCACAGUAGAGGCAGGUGGAAUUCCCGGUGUAGCGGUGAAAUGCGCAGAUAUCAGGAAGAACACCCGUGGCGAAGGCGGCUCUCUGGUACGUGACUGACGCUGAGACGCGAAAGCGUGGGGAGCAAACAGG
This 253-nucleotide ribosomal RNA is filed under the name uncultured bacterium. RNAcentral describes it as "partial 16S ribosomal RNA". It matches the Rfam family "Bacterial small subunit ribosomal RNA", at positions 524 to 776 of the family's 1533-position model. The record is from RNAcentral.